Molecule: long non-coding RNA, 11639 nt
Organism: Numida meleagris (helmeted guineafowl)
Lineage: Eukaryota; Metazoa; Chordata; Aves; Galliformes; Numididae
Exons: 9
Source: RefSeq, a predicted model, not a curated record
CCUCUAAAAAAUCCAAGCCCUCCAUGCAUUAGGAGUAGUAAAUCCAGUUUAGUUUGUUCCUCUUCCCUGUUCUGAUCACUUUAACCACUUUCAGCACAGAAGGAAAGAAACUUUCACAAUUCAGUUUGCAGAUCACUCUAGGGUGCUUAUUUUUAGGUAAUAGUUCUUUUGCAAUCCUGAAGCGUUACUCAAGUUCACUAAGCUGAUUUUACACUAUUAUUCGUUCCAGUGGUCUGAGAAGGUUGUGAGGUCUGGUGAUUUCAGCAAGUCUUAGAAGCAGAAGGACAAAGUUCGAACAAAGGAAAGGGGUUGAUUCACUGAAAAAAAGCCAUGAGUAAACCAUCUUGUACUCCUCUGUCACAGUCAGCUCCUCUAAGUGCUGGAGAAACUGAUCCGAAGAUGCCUCGAAUCUAUGAAGCAUCUCAGUAAUUGUCACUUCUGCAACAUUUUUUCUGCAUUGUCUCAGACUUAAUUCUAGUGUUAUUAGUGCUCACAGGAAGUCUUAAAUAUGCAUUCUUUGUAUUUUGGAAUUAGAAAUGCAGAAAUGCACAAGAGCAUAUUAAUUUUUUUAGUAAUGAAAAUUUUGAUAUGUUAAACAUUAUACUCUUGCCUUUCUUCUAAUCUUCUAUUGAUUUAAUAUUUAAAUCUAUAAAAUCCUUAUGUAACACAUUAUUAUUUCACCUACCCCUUCACUGUCUGGGCUGAAAACAUACAUCACACUCUGCUUUGUGAUUUCAAUCUGAUUUACAGUUGAACUAUAUUCCUUGGUAGCUUGCAUGAGCACAGAUCCACCAACGACAUGCUAAGAAUGUGGCCCUCUGAGUUUUUUUAAGGUAUUUUGGAUAAAUAGGUGAAAUUAAGCAUUCAAAAAAAAAAAAAAAAAAAAAAAAAAAGCACCACCAUCAUCAACAACAAAAAAGGAAACAAGCAUACAAACAAAUAUCAACCAAACAAUCAAACAAAAAAGGCCACAACAUGGCCUUAAAAAACUGCUGUGGUUAAAGAAAACUUACUCAACACUAUGGGUCUAUCAAUACAAGAAGUUCCAAGCACAUUUGUACUUCAGUGUCCACGUGCCCCAUACUGGUAGCUCACCGUACUUCUAAUACACUUCUAAUAUUGCACAGCAGUGGUUGUAGCUCAGAGAACAUCACAGAGAAUCAGAGCUGUGUUCUGCAGUUCCAAAAAGCAUUCUUGCUUGAAAGGAAAUGCAUAGAGCUGAAAAGCGGUGCUGAGUUCAUUUGAUAUUUGUGUAAAUAAUUCUUCUUUUACAUGGAUUUUUCAGUUUGCUCUAUGAAUUUGGAGCUAAACAAAUAAGCUUCUCUCCUGCUCUUAAGGUCACUGUAGUCAUGUGGCCAUAAAGAAACCUAAGUACACAGACUGGACUUUUUAAUGGGACAUCAUGUCUCAUAAAAUUUGUGAUAUGUUUAAAUGUUAUCAGAAUGGAAAUAGACAUAAUGGAUGUUGUUCCAUUCAUUAUAAUUCCAUCCAAGUACCCAAAUUCCAUAUUUCUGCUUGUAUUUCUAUACCUGAACCACUGAUGUCUUUCACAGAAGAUGAAGAGUGAUAUUUAACACUAUUGUGUAAACUGUGGCCGUUUAGAGUGACACUUGAGAAUUUCAUCACUUUUUUUCUGACAAAACUACAUGUGCUUAUUUAUUAAGACUGUUAUUCAAAUGAUAUAGGACCAUGUCUGCACUAAAUUAAAAUGUUUAUUUACCUGAUUACCCAUCGGAGUCAUUCAUCAGCAUUAAGAUCUUCAUUUGUGGAAAACCAAAUUACACAAGAAAUUUCUUGUUUCAUAUAAAGAAGACAAAUGUUUGGAGCAUGUAGAAACUCUUUUUUAAUUGGUAAAAGAAAUUCUACUAGAGCUCUUUGUGUUACUGGCACAAUAUUUGCCAGAUUAAAUGCUACCUGAACAUUAUUAUUUAAAAAAAGAUUGCUAAAAUCAUAAAAGACAUCAAAAGCCAUACAAAGCUUUGAUUGUCAAGUUAAACCGUGAAAGAUAGUUUUGAAGAAUACAGAAGGAAGCACUGCUUUCUAUGCCAGGAUUAGGCCAUGUGAGUAUAACCUGAUUUUUUGGGGAAUUUGUCUAUGAGCUAAUUUAAAUAAUCCUAGUUCUUGUUAUUGCUGUCAAUAAAUGCUUCAAUGCAUAGCUAGCCAUCAGAAGACUAGUUUUCCAACAUACCUCCCCACCCUUUUGGAAAAAGUUACAGCACAAACAAAAAUAUCGUUAUCAAGAGGAUGAACUAAAGAGAAUACGUGCUGGAAAACCUGUUUAAGCUUAUCUCUGGGAAACUACACAGGAAAAAAAAUGGAAAAUCCCCAAACUAAAGAACAAAGAAGCUUUCUUUUGUAGCAGAGGUGUUCUUAUUGAAGGUGCAGUGUAAAAAAGAGAGGGAAAAACCUAUAGGAAAUAAAAGGACUCAGGAAACAAGUUUUAUGGGGGAAGGGGAACUUGGCGAUGUCUUAGAGAAUAACAAAGAAAAGCAGGAGAAUUGCUUGGUCCCAAACUCACAGCUACACUGAUUCUGACGCAUGUACAAGUAAGGAAUUAUCAGCAAAAAUAACCUGCACAGGUUUCUGUCCUCUUUGGUUGUAUCUCCACAAUAGAGUAAACAGAGUCAGAUCAUGUUCCCAGGCUUCAAAUCUCGCUCUUCUGCCAUUGUAAACUGCUAGGAUGUUCUGAACUGGAGGCUCCCCCAGCAUGACGCCACGCCAAGGAGCCAGUUUGGAUAGGAUCACCUUAAUCUUUUUAUUGUUAUAUCUGUGAGCCAUUCUAUCUGAAGAGCCUAAGAACAAUCCCAGAAAUUAUUAUUUUACUUGUAGACAAUAUCUUUGCCUCCACAGAUCUCUCCCCAGGCUCCCUUCUGUGUUCUAAUAAGGAGGUGUGUUUGGUUGACAGGAGAUGUCCAGAAGAAAAUUCCUUUCAAAAACAGACCGGCCUCUGCAUCAUUUUAAGUGGCAAUAUAAUAGUAAUGGCACGAGUAAUGGUAAUAGUAAUGGUAAUAGUAAUAUUAAUAGUAAUAAUGCAAAGUAAAUCAGAAGGAAGGUAUUUGCACUGAUUUCCUCUUUUGUUCUCUGUGAGGGAAGCCUUGCAAAUUUUUCAGUGAAAGAGAAAAUGCAAAAACUUUUCAUGCUAGUAUAGGUUGAUGCUGCUGAAAAGCAAAGGCAGUGUAUAGUCUCUGAGUGGCCAGUCUAUGAUAUUAACAGAUUGGAGACUGUCUUUUAAUACCUCAGUUUGCUCUGGUUCAUUACAAACAAGUGUUUUUUUUUGUCUAGACUGUCAAUGUCCAUGAACUCUGAAAAAUCCUGACAUGAAGGGUGUUAUUUUACUGGAUAGCUCUUUGAAAUCCAAGAUAGUGGCAUCAACAUUGUCAUAGAUACCACCAGAAAAUGGAGGCACACAAGCUCCAGGUAGCAGAGUAAAUGGCAGAGAUAAGGGAGUGGUCAGAAUGCCACAGUGGAAAGGAGAUUUACCAUUAUCCACAUAUAUAAUCCACAUAUAAUUACAUAUAUAUUUUUAAUAUUCUGAACUCCUUAUUUGUGCUACCUGGACAAAUUGAAAUCUCCAACCACUGUAUCUGUGGUAUGAACUUCUUUUCUUGUGUUGUACAACUUCCACAUCCCAUAGUACAUUGCAUCAAAAGGUGCCAAAGAGACCUACAAGGUUUUUCACCAACAAAAGUGCAAAUGGUAAAGACAUGCAGUGCAGCUACAGACACUUUGACCUAUGGUGCUCUUGCAACUCAAUUUUGUCAUCACAGAUGAUGAGUCAACAGAGGUAUGAGUGCCAAAUUCUGUAAAACAGAGGAAGCAUGAGUUGAAUUAAAUUCAAUUCCUUUAAUAUAAAUUAGCCAGAAAACAAUGUCAGGGAUCAUGUCUUAAAUUAUUAGUCUGAAUCACACCCCAAAACUGAUCACGGUCAUUUUUAAGAGGACAAAUGUUUUCUACCUUUGUGAAUACCCAUCCUGGCAGUAACAAGAUGCUUUUAAGUUAAUGUUGGUUUCUCACAACUCACAGUGUAUUAUCCAGAUGACUAAAUCACAAAUACAUGCUCAAAACUCCAAUUUAGAAUUGGCUUGGCUAUCUCUGCACACACUGUAUCUGUCAUGUUUAGCUACUGCUGGUAUUUUGCUAUCAAUAUAAAUGAAUCAUCCUCUGAAUCACUUCAGAUUUUCUCUCAAAGAUCUCUUAAGAGUCAUUAUAAUAUUGUUAUUCUGAAUGUCAGCUCUCAAUGAACUGAAAUGUCUGAAGUCAGUGCUAAGACUCAUCAUGACUUGAAUGGGCUCCAAAUGUCACAUGGUAAAUCGGCUUUCCGGUGCUCCUUUUUUUUAACUGCUUUUUCCUCUAUCACUUAAUCUCUUUACUUUUCCUGCCUUGAAUGUCAGAUUCAUAAAGCUUCAGGAUAUGGAAUUUCUCUGAUUAUUGAAUCUGCAAUACCUAAGUAAUGCCCAGCCUAGCACAGAUACUGACAAUAAGUCUGAGAGGUGAAGAUAGAAUCACACGCCUUUGAAAAAGGUGUUCUCUGAAACUACUUCCCUCCUCAGUAUGAACAAAUUUCAUAUCAUGUUUCAAAAUUAGAAUUGUUUCCUUUCUUUUACUGAAAUCUUAAAAUACAAAAGUUUACCAACUGGAAGAAACCAAGGUCCUGAUAGUCCAGCACUGCCACCUGAAUUUCAACCCGAUUUCUCAACAGCUCUGAUUCUCAAUUGAAUCUUAAUUCACCAAAUUUGACUCCUUACCACAUUUUUUUUCUUGAAGACUGUUUAUAGGAAAGGCACUUAGCACAGAAGAGCUGGAUGAAGUAUUUGACUAAAUAUAUUUUUAUUUAAAAAUAUGCAUUUUUCUAAUAUCUACAUAUUUCAAAGAAAUGUGUCAAUCUCAAAAAAAAAGUUCAAACUGAGCAAAAAGAAAACACCAAUAAGCCCACAAUAUACUGACAUGAUUAAUUAUUAUUACUGUUGUUGUUAUUUAAGUUUAGCAGGAAGUUAUGACUUCUUCCUUGUUGAGACUCAAACAUUAAUGUUUUUAAAACAUCAGAAUCUCCUUUAGAAUAAAAUGCUUAUUUUCAUCUAGUUCCACAUAACAAUACCUUGGUGAAACAAAGCAUCCAAGUGAAGCACCUUUUGUUUUAUGCAGUACAUACAAGAAAUUUUGCCUAGGGCAAUGAUCCAUGGCAUAAAUACCAAGAAGCCCAGAGAUACAAGACUGCAGAGAAGGAUGGUUAAUGUCUCCAGAAGGAUGAUGCCCAUACAGAUCAGGUUCAGAGGCUUGUCAGGCCCACAGAGAGAUGUGAAUGGCAACCUGCAGCUUCCAGGGGUGCUGCUCCUUGUGCAAGACCAGAGCAUCCUCAGGACUGAAGAUCCAUGCAGCUGGAUCUAGACCCCUUGGCUUUAAAUUUCUGUUUCUGCAGUCUUUGUGCAGCACAUGGUAAUCAGCAGAAGGACCAGGAACAGGAAAUGAGAACUCUCUACAUUUUUUCUAGAGUAAACUCUUCUUGUGGAAUGAUCAUUCUGAAGGCAAGAAAUAAUUUUAUUUCCAUAUUUGGGGUGAAAUUGAUUUAUUUGGAAAAGAACAUUGUCUGUUCCCCAGUUUUCUCCUUUUUCAGUGGAAUAGUGUCACUGCAUUAUCCCUUCACUUAUAUAGUGGAUUGGAUCAUGGUUUCUUGCCAGAGGCAUUGAGAUUCUCAACUGGAGAUAAGGCAAACUGUUUGCAUUGAUGGUGCAUUUUCUUUGGGGCCCUGACCCCUGUUUUCUAUUUUAAAAUCAUAUUGCUUUGAGCUUUCAUCCUUUGGCCUUUAAACUGCUUGAUCCAAGGUAGACAUACACGAUACUACUACAUCCUUACUAGCAUCUGCAACUGAAUCAGUUAUCUCUGCCCCAGUCAGACAAGCAGAUCCCUUUAUUAUACUAUAUUAAUACAGUUUUGCGUGCAUGGUUCUUUAUAAGGAAAAGAUGAGUCACUGUUCCAAGAGACCUCAUGUUAUAAAUUAGAUGUGGCACAUGGAAUGACGACAAUGAAAUGAUUAGAGAAUAAUGAUUAGAGUAAUACAUUUUCAUAUAUGAAUUUAUUGAAUUAUUUUGUGACAAAUUCACAUUAAGUUUUCAUCUUGUUUCUCUAAGAUACAUAGCUCAAACCCAAAUGCUAAAGAACUAUGUUCAGACCCAUUCGUGCUACAAUCUCAGUUCUUCUGUAAGUGCACAGUGGUCAGCUCUUCUUCCAAAGAAGCUUCCAUAGCUCUUUGGCAAAAACUUUAUUCUUAGUCACCAAAAGAGAUAUUAAAAUGAAUGGUGACUCAUCUCAGCAGGCACUCAAAUGCAGCCUUAGUCUCAGUCAUAGUGGAAGAAAGUUAACAGUUGCAAUGCUCUAGUAUAGGAAGCAUACAUUUUUAUAGAAGUAUAGAUACACAUAAGGGAACAUUUCUCCUGUUUCAGUCUGUGAAAGAGCAGCCUCCCUCCUCCCUGUGCCAGGGCACACAAAUCUGAUAGAAAAUCUAUUCCAGCACUGAGAAUGCUCCCUGAAUAUACUCCUCUCAGCCACCCGAGUGCCUCUGCACCAUCUAGUGGUUCAAGUCCCUACUGAAAGGAAUCAGGACGAGGAAAGGUUUUUUUUAUUUGUGAGGCAAACAAUUAUUUAUGGGGAAAAAAACGGCAGGUUUUAUUGCCCUACCCAUACACUAUAAGCAUCUUGUACUCCUGUAUGCAUGAACUGCGGAAAGUACUUAUCAUCCUAGAUGUUCCAAGGAAUUUCUCUCUUAGGAAACCUUCACAAGCUGCCUGGACAUGGGCCUGGGCACCUCGCUCUGGAUAUCCCUGUUUGAGCAGGGGUUGGACAGAUGGACCCAGAGGUCCCUGUCAACCUCAGCCAUCCAGUGAUUCUGUGAAAGGACAGAGAGAAAGGAUUUAGGAUAUGAGCAGAGGAAGAGAAGGUGGAAUUAAGGAAUCACUAGCACUCUUGGACAGUAUCUGUCUUGUUCUGCUGUAACAGACAGCUACCUUUCAAAUCUUGCAAGUUGGUAUAGAUGCCUCAAGCUGCCAGCAGUGCAGAUCUGGCAGGUUGUGUGGGAUGCAGAAGCUCUUGAGGAGCAUAUCAGAGGAGCAGCUCCCAGCACACAUCAUGAGGCUGCCUGCUCUUUUUCCUCUGGCAGACCUGGAAGAAGUGCAGCCUGGGAUGAGCAUGACUGAACAGCAAACAAGCAGAGUGUAUUUGUCUCUGUCUGGAACGUUUUGUGUGUAUGAGACAGUCCCACAUGUUUUUUCAGGACCACCCUGUCUUGUUUUGAAUGGUGCUCACAGAAACCUGAGUGUGAUGGUAGUAAAUAAAGAGAAGGCUGUGGCUGUGCUGGGGAAGCUCUCCUAGCUGGCUGUGUGCUUAUUUGUGUUCUUACAUUGCCACCCUCUGACAGCCCGCUGGAUUUAAACACUGUCACUCUAUGGGCAGUUGAAGUUUGAGAAAGGCAUGCUUAUGAAGUACAAGCCUGAACACACCACUGCAGAAAUGCAUCGCUACUAUCACUAUUUGGUUUAAAUUGAAUAUCUUUCGAGUACAUUUAUCUCCUGUAAAUUUCUCAUCUGUUGCUGUAAAGGUUUGCUUAAAGGCUGAUUUGAGGAAGUGUAGCAGAGAGAAAAAUCAGCUCAGUGCAAAACCACAAAUCUCUUAAGAGUAUUCUCCAAGCCCUCAGAAAAAUUAGAUAUGAGAAAUGGUGUUAGUCUGUGUGAGCUGAAGAAACUACACCCUUCUCUAUACCUAAUGAGAGGAGAGAGCAUUAAUGGAACAUUUGUGGAGGCAAGAAUACACUAUAAGUUAUAACUAUAGUUAUAACUAUAUGGCCAAAUUACCCAAGUAUGAGGUUCAGCAAGGGCAAGUGUAGGGUCUUGCGUCUGGAGAGGAAUAAUUACACACAUCAGUAAAGGUUAGACCCGCCGGAAAUGAGCUCUGAGCAGAAGGGCCUGGAAGUCCUGGCGGACAACAGGUUGGCCAUGAGUCAGCAGUGUGCCCUUGCAGCCAAGAAGGCCAGUGGUACCCUGGGGUGCAUCUAGAAGAGUGUGGCUAGCAGGCCCCUCUACACUGCCCUGGUGAGGCCACAUCUGGAGUAUCGCAUCUAGUUCUGGGCUCCUCAGUUCAAAAAAGACAGGAACUUCUAGACAGAGUCCAGCAAAGAGCCAUAAUGAUGACUAAGGGCCUAGAGCAUCUCUCCUGUGAGAAAAGGCUACAAAACCUGGGACUGUUCACUCUGGAGAAGACUGAAAGGGGAUUUCAUGACUAUUUAUGAAUAUCUAAAGUGUGGGAGUCAAGCUGAUGGGGGCAAUAGAACAAGAGCAAAAACUGGAACACAGAAAGUUCAUACAAAUACAAGGAAGAACUUCACUCUGAGUGAUAGAGCACUGAAACAAACUGCCCAGAGAGGCUGUGGAGUUUCCUUCUUAGGAGAUAUUAACAGGCUAUCUGGAUGCCUUCCUGUUCAACCUUCUGUGGGGAAUCUGCUUUAGCAGAGGGGCUGGACUCGAUCUCCAGAGGUCCCUUCCAACCCCUACAAUUCUGUGAAUCUGUGAAGUACACUGAAUUCAGAUGCUGUGAAUACCAGUCCUCACACAAGAGCAACACCUACUGCUGCACCGUGUUGAAACUUGCUCUUUCCCAAGUACUGAACGAUAUAUUCAGUCUUGCUGACCUACUUUUCUAUCAAGAGAUUGCCAAUGAAAUUCUAACAUUUGUAGUUGUGUGAAUGUCAGAUAUACAAAACUGAAAGGGAAGAAAGUGCGGGAUAUAAAGUAAACACUUGUAUCUUUUCAUACAAAAUGUAAAAACUAAUUUUAUGUAAUAAAUGAUUUCAUUCAGAAUUGCUCACAUCUGAGAAAGCAGUGCAUUAAGAAAAAAAUGGUAAGCAAAGACUAUGCAUAUGUUUUUGCCAUAGGAGGGAUGACGUGUUCUUUUCAUGAAGCAUUUCAGUUCCGUUCCAUUCCAGCUGUGUAUGGCAUUGUACUUAAUACUUUUUUAAGAGCAUCUUAUCAAUUGAAGAGAGAUGUUGACAAGACUGAAAAGAGCAUACUGAAAACAGUUAAGAGGACAGAGAGUGACAUAGAAAAAGAAGCUGAAUAAACUGGAUCUUUUUAGCCUAGAGAAGACAAGGAUGGUUUCUAAUUUCAGUUCUCAGUUAACUAUUGGAGGGUUACAGACUAGCCAUAGCCAGAUUCUUCAUGUGGAUGCCCAUUGAAAGAACAGGAGGCAACAGCCACAAGUUUCAGCAAUGGAAAUUUGUACUAUUUAUAAAGAAAACGUCUUCAACAUGAGAGUGGUUAAGCUCUAGAGCAGAUCACCUUGAAAAACUGAAAUUUCCUUUACUGAAGAUUUUCAGAUUCGGUGGGACAAGGUCCCCAAGACAUACUUUGGGAAUAGAUUAUCACACACUGCUGGAGAAAGAGGAGGAAUUUAAAAUCCUUUUAUCCUCUGGCUGCCACAGUGCAGAAUUCCUGAAGAAAAAAUCCCAGCCUUCCAAAAAUGACCCACUGUGAAUAAAGAGUGUUGGUGAUAAGAGAGAAAGCUCCUUGCUCUUUUGUGUUGUCAGAUUGUUUAACAUAAAACAGAGUUUAAAGAGUGGAAGGUCUUCCAGACUAGAAUUGAGAUAUUACUGCCUAUCAGCUUGGUUUGCAGUCACAGAAAAGGCCUGCAGAAAAAAUCCUCUUCAAAAGGCACAUUUUUAAAAAUCUAUUGCUUAUUGAGAUACAGGGAGCUAGGACAUAUGAACUGCUUCAUGUUACAACUUUAACUACCAUCAUAAAGGUGCCACUUUAACUCCGGGUAAAUAAAAUGAUGGAAUUUGGCAUGGUACCAUUGUGAGUUCUCUUAUGAAAACACUCCAACUCAGAAAUUCAUAUUCUCCCAAAUCACUGAUUUUGAUGACAAGUUUUCAUUUGAUUGUUUUUUGUAUUUUUGUUUGCUUGCUUGCUUGGUGGGCUGUUUCAUUUCAGUUGGGUUUGGUGGGGUUUUUCAGACUGUUCAUUUUCUGUUUUGGUUUGUUCCUCUUCUAUGACUACUAUAUAUAUGGAAAGAACACCUGAAGCUUCAAAAAAUACCACAUUCCUAGCCUGAGUUUUUGUGAAAUCUGACCUUUACAAAAGCUGAGAAGACAGAAGAAGAGGUGAGACAAGAAGAGAUUUGUCUUCUGUUCUUCUAGAAAGAGUCACGAAUGAAGGUGUGAAAAUGAGCCUGGGAAAAAAAGGGGGAUAUGAGAAAGGAAGUUGAGCCUUUUUACACCUGGAAGCAGUGAAGCACAGGAAAGCAAAGGGACUUCCCCGGAAAAUGCAGCGGCAAUAUCAGCAGCCAAAGCUGACUCCCACUUCUGAGUCAAGUUGUGAAUGAUCAAUUACAGAGCUUUUGGCUCAAUUAUGCCAUCAGAUAAUAAGUAUAUCUGCAGGUCUCUCUAGCUAACUUUUACACGAGAGAUGCUUAAAUUGAUACUCUUGUGCAAGUUAACAUACACUGAAAUUUCUGCCAUUUGGAAGAACAUCAAUCAAAACAAGAUGAUCCAUGGAGAAAGCAAGCAGCAAUGAAAGUCCUUCAAACCUGUGAAUACAAAUAUUUUGGCUGGAUUAUCAUGUCAGUCUCUUCUGGUUUGGAAAUACUUGAUUGUGGGAAACUGAAUCACUCUAUUUUUGGAGCUGAAGAGAAGACCAUGGGUGCUACACAGCACAAUCAGCAACAUCUAAGCAGUGAACGCACUUACCUGGUUUAUCAACAGCAGCAGCAAUCAGAACAUUGUUUCCCACUUCAGUCACCUCUCUGAGCAUCUGAACACAGUCAUUUCAUUUGUUCUCCUGUUUGUCUCCGAUUGCCAUCAUCUACAUUGACUGACUUUUCCAGAAACUCUUGCCAUUAUUGAAAGUGAACUCACCACUUCCCUGAGGCAUAUGACUGAAUAACCUGAAGAUCUGUGCAUCAAAGUGGAAUUAAAGAAGGGAAAGAGUCAUAUUAAAAAUAGUGCAUGGGGUAGGGAUAAAAUAAUUUUUCUCCUUCUCUUACAGUGAUGGAUACAAAUGUAUUUUUUGCCUUCACCAGAGGUGAAACCAGUGCUCAUGUGAAUUGAAUUAUAGUGAACAAUUCUAUCACAGAGAUGAACAUUUUUGUUUUCUGCCUCUGUGUUUCUCAUCUUAUAGGUUAUUGAUGUAAAAAGUAUGUCUAAAUCAGGUUCUUCAACUUUUACUGAAGAACGACACCAUUCUGUGAGCUCCAGAAAGUCUGCAAGUACAGGAAAUGUCAGGUCAUCUUGUUAUUAAGACUAUAAACAAAAAUCAGUAUGUCUGAAAGUAGCUUAAAAAUAGAAAAAGAGUUCUAUAUAAUUACAAACUUUAAAGCUGACAAAACAUUUUUUUUUUCAUUUUAAUUAACCUCUCUCCUGCCCUGGCUUCUGAAAAUAUCACAUCUGAGGCCUCAGUUGUCUGUCUAAAUAGAAGCAAAUUAUACUUACAUCUUACAAUUUUAUGUUAUGGAGGUCACUUUCUAUGAAAAAAUACUGAAACACUGUACAACAUUACAAAAUGUUUUGCUGGCAAGGAAUAUCUUGCGCACAGUAUUUUUGUGGAAAAUAGCUUGAAGCUUGAGGUAACCAAAAUAUUCUCUGAUAAAAAUCCUAACAAUUA